This 91-nucleotide transfer RNA is filed under the name Bacillota bacterium. RNAcentral describes it as "tRNA-Ser". It matches the Rfam family "tRNA". From Rfam's summary of the family: Transfer RNA (tRNA) molecules are approximately 80 nucleotides in length. The record is from RNAcentral. Lineage: Bacteria; Bacillati; Bacillota. RNAcentral also lists the same sequence under 2 other names.
GGAGAGAUACUCAAGAGGUCGAAGAGGAGGCCCUGCUAAGGCCUUAGUCCGGGCAACUGGAGCGAGGGUUCAAAUCCCUCUCUCUCCGCCA